Molecule: ribosomal RNA, 247 nt
Filed under: uncultured bacterium
Lineage: Bacteria
Description: partial 16S ribosomal RNA
Rfam family: Bacterial small subunit ribosomal RNA
Source: RNAcentral
UACGUAGGGUGCGAGCGUUAAUCGGAAUUACUGGGCGUAAAGGGUGCGCAGGCGGUUAUAUAAGACAGAUGUGAAAUCCCCGGGCUCAACCUGGGAACUGCGUUUGUGACUGUAUGACUAGAGUACGGUAGAGAGGGGUGGAAUUCCUGGUGUAGCAGUGAAAUGCGUAGAUAUCAGGAGGAACAUCGAUGGCGAAGGCAGCCCCUUGGACCGUGUACUGACGCUCAUGCACGAAAGCGUGGGGAGC